GAUGAACGCUGGCGGCGUGCCUAAUACAUGCAAGUCGAGCGAACAGACGAGGAGCUUGCUCCUCUGACGUUAGCGGCGGACGGGUGAGUAACGCGUGGAUAACCUACCUAUAAGACUGGGAUAACUUCGGGAAACCGGAGCUAAUACCGGAUAAUAUAUUGAACCGCAUGGUUCAAUAGUGAAAGACGGUUUUGCUGUCACUUAUAGAUGGAUCCGCGCCGCAUUAGCAAGUUGGUAAGGUAACGGCUUACCAAGGCAACGAUGGGAAGCCGACCUGAGAGGGUGAUCGGCCACACUGGAACGGAGACACGGCCCAGACUCCUACGGGGGGCAGCAGUAGGGAAUCUUCCGCAAUGGGGGAAAGCCUGACGGAGCAACGCCGCGUGAGCGAUGAAGGUCUUCGGAUCGUAAAACUCUGUUAUUAGGGAAGAACAAAUGUGUAAGUAACUAUGCACGUCUUGACGGUACCUAAUCAGAAAGCCACGGCUAACUACGUG
RNAcentral lists this ribosomal RNA (497 nucleotides) under uncultured bacterium. RNAcentral's name for it is "partial 16S ribosomal RNA". It matches the Rfam family "Bacterial small subunit ribosomal RNA", at positions 28 to 507 of the family's 1533-position model. The record is from RNAcentral.